Molecule: ribosomal RNA, 2925 nt
Filed under: Salmonella enterica subsp. enterica serovar Derby
Lineage: Bacteria; Pseudomonadati; Pseudomonadota; Gammaproteobacteria; Enterobacterales; Enterobacteriaceae
Description: bacterial LSU rRNA
Rfam family: Bacterial large subunit ribosomal RNA
Source: RNAcentral
GGGUUGUGAGGUUAAGCGACUAAGCGUACACGGUGGAUGCCCUGGCAGUCAGAGGCGAUGAAGGGCGUGCUAAUCUGCGAUAAGCGCCGGUAAGGUGAUAUGAACCGUUAUAACCGGCGAUACCCGAAUGGGGAAACCCAGUGUGAUUCGUCACACUAUCAUUAACUGAAUCCAUAGGUUAAUGAGGCGAACCGGGGGAACUGAAACAUCUAAGUACCCCGAGGAAAAGAAAUCAACCGAGAUUCCCCAGUAGCGGCGAGCGAACGGGGAGGAGCCCAGAGCCUGAAUCAGCAUGUGUGUUAGUGGAAGCGUCUGGAAAGGCGCGCGAUACAGGGUGACAGCCCCGUACACAAAAGCGCAUGUGCUGUGAGCUCGAUGAGUAGGGCGGGACACGUGGUAUCCUGUCUGAAUAUGGGGGACCAUCCUCCAAGGCUAAAUACUCCUGACUGACCGAUAGUGAACCAGUACCGUGAGGGAAAGGCGAAAAGAACCCCGGCGAGGGGAGUGAAAAGAACCUGAAACCGUGUACGUACAAGCAGUGGGAGCACAGGUUUACCUGUGUGACUGCGUACCUUUUGUAUAAUGGGUCAGCGACUUAUAUUCUGUAGCAAGGUUAACCGUAUAGGGGAGCCGGAGGGAAACCGAGUCUUAACCGGGCGUUAAGUUGCAGGGUAUAGACCCGAAACCCGGUGAUCUAGCCAUGGGCAGGUUGAAGGUUGGGUAACACUAACUGGAGGACCGAACCGACUAAUGUUGAAAAAUUAGCGGAUGACCUGUGGCUGGGGGUGAAAGGCCAAUCAAACCGGGAGAUAGCUGGUUCUCCCCGAAAGCUAUUUAGGUAGCGCCUCGUGAACUCAUCUCCGGGGGUAGAGCACUGUUUCGGCUAGGGGGCCAUCCCGGCUUACCAACCCGAUGCAAACUGCGAAUACCGGAGAAUGUUAUCACGGGAGACACACGGCGGGUGCUAACGUCCGUCGUGAAGAGGGAAACAACCCAGACCGCCAGCUAAGGUCCCAAAGUCAUGGUUAAGUGGGAAACGAUGUGGGAAGGCCCAGACAGCCAGGAUGUUGGCUUAGAAGCAGCCAUCAUUUAAAGAAAGCGUAAUAGCUCACUGGUCGAGUCGGCCUGCGCGGAAGAUGUAACGGGGCUAAACCAUGCACCGAAGCUGCGGCAGCGACACUCAGGUGUUGUUGGGUAGGGGAGCGUUCUGUAAGCCUGCGAAGGUGGCCUGUGAGGGUUGCUGGAGGUAUCAGAAGUGCGAAUGCUGACAUAAGUAACGAUAAAGCGGGUGAAAAGCCCGCUCGCCGGAAGACCAAGGGUUCCUGUCCAACGUUAAUCGGGGCAGGGUGAGUCGACCCCUAAGGCGAGGCCGAAAGGCGUAGUCGAUGGGAAACGGGUUAAUAUUCCCGUACUUGGUGUUACUGCGAAGGGGGGACGGAGAAGGCUAUGUUGGCCGGGCGACGGUUGUCCCGGUUUAAGCGUGUAGGUGUGUGUUCCAGGUAAAUCCGGUUCACUUUAACACUGAGGCGUGACGACGAGGCACUACGGUGCUGAAGCAACAAAUGCCCUGCUUCCAGGAAAAGCCUCUAAGCAUCAGGUAACAUCAAAUCGUACCCCAAACCGACACAGGUGGUCAGGUAGAGAAUACCAAGGCGCUUGAGAGAACUCGGGUGAAGGAACUAGGCAAAAUGGUGCCGUAACUUCGGGAGAAGGCACGCUGACACGUAGGUGAAGUGAUUUACUCAUGGAGCUGAAGUCAGUCGAAGAUACCAGCUGGCUGCAACUGUUUAUUAAAAACACAGCACUGUGCAAACACGAAAGUGGACGUAUACGGUGUGACGCCUGCCCGGUGCCGGAAGGUUAAUUGAUGGGGUCAGCGCAAGCGAAGCUCCUGAUCGAAGCCCCGGUAAACGGCGGCCGUAACUAUAACGGUCCUAAGGUAGCGAAAUUCCUUGUCGGGUAAGUUCCGACCUGCACGAAUGGCGUAAUGAUGGCCAGGCUGUCUCCACCCGAGACUCAGUGAAAUUGAACUCGCUGUGAAGAUGCAGUGUACCCGCGGCAAGACGGAAAGACCCCGUGAACCUUUACUAUAGCUUGACACUGAACAUUGAGCCUUGAUGUGUAGGAUAGGUGGGAGGCUUUGAAGUGUGGACGCCAGUCUGCAUGGAGCCGACCUUGAAAUACCACCCUUUAAUGUUUGAUGUUCUAACGUGGACCCGUAAUCCGGGUUGCGGACAGUGUCUGGUGGGUAGUUUGACUGGGGCGGUCUCCUCCUAAAGAGUAACGGAGGAGCACGAAGGUUGGCUAAUCCUGGUCGGACAUCAGGAGGUUAGUGCAAUGGCAUAAGCCAGCUUGACUGCGAGCGUGACGGCGCGAGCAGGUGCGAAAGCAGGUCAUAGUGAUCCGGUGGUUCUGAAUGGAAGGGCCAUCGCUCAACGGAUAAAAGGUACUCCGGGGAUAACAGGCUGAUACCGCCCAAGAGUUCAUAUCGACGGCGGUGUUUGGCACCUCGAUGUCGGCUCAUCACAUCCUGGGGCUGAAGUAGGUCCCAAGGGUAUGGCUGUUCGCCAUUUAAAGUGGUACGCGAGCUGGGUUUAGAACGUCGUGAGACAGUUCGGUCCCUAUCUGCCGUGGGCGCUGGAGAACUGAGGGGGCUGCUCCUAGUACGAGAGGACCGGAGUGGACGCAUCACUGGUGUUCGGGUUGUCAUGCCAAUGGCACUGCCCGGUAGCUAAAUGCGGAAGAGAUAAGUGCUGAAAGCAUCUAAGCACGAAACUUGCCCCGAGAUGAGUUCUCCCUGAGACUUAGAGUCUCCUGAAGGAACGUUGAAGACGACGACGUUGAUAGGCCGGGUGUGUAAGCGCAGCGAUGCGUUGAGCUAACCGGUACUAAUGAACCGUGAGGCUUAACCUUACAACGCCGAAG